AGAGUUUGAUCAUGGCUCAGAACGUACGCUGGCGGCACGCCUAACACAUGCAAGUCGAACGAAGUAGCAAUACUUAGUGGCAGACGGGUGAGUAACAUGUGGGUAUCUACCCUUUGGCCUGGAAUAACACGAGGAAACUUGUGCUAAUACCGGAUAAGUCUUUACGGAGAAAGCUUUAUGCACCAUUGGAUGAGCCCGCACUUGAUUAGUUUGUUGGUAGGGUAAUGGCCUACCAAGACUAUGAUCAAUAGCUGAUUUGAGAGGAUGAUCAGCCACAUUGGGACUGAGACACGGCCCAAACUCCUACGGGAGGCAGCAGUGGGGAAUCUUGCACAAUGGAGGAAACUCUGAUGCAGCGAUGCCGCGUGAGUGAAGAAGGCCUUUGGGUUGUAAAGCUCUUUCGUCGGGGAAGAAAAUGACUGUACCCGAAUAAGAAGGUCCGGCUAACUUCGUGCCAGCAGCCGCGGUAAUACGAAGGGACCUAGCGUAGUUCGGAAUUACUGGGCUUAAAGAGUUCGUAGGUGGUUGAAAAAGUUGGUGGUGAAAUCCCAGAGCUUAACUCUGGAACUGCCAUCAAAACUUUUCAGCUAGAGUGUGAUAGAGGAAAGCAGAAUUUCUAGUGUAGAGGUGAAAUUCGUAGAUAUUAGAAA
Molecule: ribosomal RNA, 650 nt
Filed under: uncultured bacterium
Lineage: Bacteria
Description: bacterial SSU rRNA
Rfam family: Bacterial small subunit ribosomal RNA
Source: RNAcentral